RNAcentral lists this long non-coding RNA (201 nucleotides) under Helianthus annuus (common sunflower). Its description in RNAcentral is "sRNA HanXRQr2_Chr14g0657951". The record is from RNAcentral. Lineage: Eukaryota; Viridiplantae; Streptophyta; Magnoliopsida; Asterales; Asteraceae.
GGGGCGACCAAGAAGGGUCAAACCCUAAUCAACACAAUUUCAUCAAAUUGAAGGGGCAAAUCAAGUCCAAAUCAAAAUCCGAGUAUGAAUUAGUGAUCUCCAUUGAAAAAGGAGUCAUGAGUUUGACGCUUGACAAGCUAGGUGGAGGCUUGGAAAGGAAGCGGGUCAAACGAAGCAAGAAUGGCGGAAAAGCAUAAUUCG